UACGUAGGGGCAAGCGUUAUCCGGAUUUACUGGGUGUAAAGGGAGCGCAGACGGCAGUGCAAGUCUGAUGUGAAAGCCCGGGGCUCAACCCCGGAACUGCAUUGGAAACUGUACAGCUUGAGUGUCGGAGAGGUAAGCGGAAUUCCUAGUGUAGCGGUGAAAUGCGUAGAUAUUAGGAGGAACACCAGUGGCGAAGGCGGCUUUCUGGACAGUAACUGACGCUGAGGCGCGAAAGCGUGGGGAGCAAACAGGAUUAGAUACCCCUGUAGU
This 270-nucleotide ribosomal RNA is filed under the name uncultured prokaryote. RNAcentral's name for it is "partial 16S ribosomal RNA". It matches the Rfam family "Bacterial small subunit ribosomal RNA", at positions 524 to 794 of the family's 1533-position model. The record is from RNAcentral.